Cebus imitator (Panamanian white-faced capuchin) is the source of this 231-nucleotide long non-coding RNA. RefSeq lists it as uncharacterized. The record is from RefSeq and is a predicted model, not a curated record. NCBI's taxonomy places the organism in Eukaryota, Metazoa, Chordata, Mammalia, Primates, Cebidae. The transcript has 3 exons.
UCAUAUCCUUUGCCCACUUUUUGAUGCAGUUGUCUGCUUUUUUCUUGUAAAUUUGUUUAAGUUCCUUGUAGAUUCUGUUUAUUAACCCUUUGACAGAUGGAUAGAUUGCAAAAAUUUCCUAUCAUUUCUGUAGGUUGCCCAUUCAUUCUGAUGAUAGAUUCUUUCGCUGUGCAGAAACUCUUUAGUUUAAUUAGAUCCCAUUUGUCAAUUUUGGCUUUAAUAUAUUGUGCC